CCCCGAAAUAGCUUUAGGGCUAGCGUCGGAAAGAACCUUAGUGAAGGUAGAGCACUGAAUGUGUGAUGGCCCCAUCCCGGGGUACUGAAUACAAUCAAACUGCGAAUGUCAUUAAGGAUGUCCGGCAGUCAGACUGUGAGUGAUAAGGUCCAUGGUCAAGAGGGAAACAGCCCAGACCGCCAGUUAAGGUCCCAAAAUACAGGCUAAGUGGAAAAGGAUGUGGGGAUGCCCAGACAACUAGGAGGUUGGCUCAGAAGCAGCCAUCCUUUAAAGAGUGCGUAACAGCUCACUAGUCGAGUGACCCUGCGCCGAAAAUGUACCGGGGCUAAGCCUGAUACCGAAACUGCGGAUUGUAGGAAACUAUAGUGGUAGGGGAGCGUUGUAUACGAGUAGAAGCCGUACCGUGAGGAGCGGUGGAUUGUAUAGAAGUGAGAAUGCCGGUGUGAGUAGCGAGAUGUAGGUGAGAAUCCUACACACCGAAAGCCCAAGGAUUCCAGGGGAAGGUUCGUCCGCCCUGGGUAAGUCGGGACCUAACGCGAGGCCGAAAGGCGUAGUGGAUGGAAAGCAGGCGAAAGAUUCCUGCACCCGUAUAUGGAGCGAAGGAGUGACGGAGACGGAUAGUGUGACCCUCUUAAUGGAUUGAGGGCGAAGCGAAGCGGCUGGUUACCAGGCAAAUCCGGUAACCAUAAGGCUAGAGCGUGACAGGUAAGCGAAAUCUUAGGAAAGUAGCGAAGCACAUGAUGACGGCUUCCAGGAAAAGCUUCUGGCAAUGCAUAUGCGGCCCGUACCAAAACCGACACAGGUGGGCAGGGAGAGAAUCCCGAGGUGAGCGAGAGAACUGUUGCCAAGGAACUCGGCAAAAUGACUCCGUAAGUUAGCGAGAAGGAGUGCUUAAGCAAUUAAGCCGCAGUGAAGAGGCCCAAGCGACUGUUUAACUAAAACACAGCUCUCUGCGAAGUCGCAAGACGAAGUAUAGGGGGUGACACCUGCCCGGUGCUGGAAGGUUAAGAGGAUCUGUUAAGAGCGAUCUGAAGCAGUGAUCCGAAGCCCCAGUGAACGGCGGCCGUAACUAUAACGGUCCUAAGGUAGCGAAAUUCCUUGUCAGGUAAGUUCUGACCCGCACGAAAGGUGUAACGAUUUGGGCGCUGUCUCGGCAGCAGACUCGGUGAAAUCUUAGUACCUGUGAAAAUGCAGGUUACCCGCAACUAGACGGAAAGACCCCAUGGAGCUUUACUGCAGCCUGAUAUUGAAUUCUGGUCAUACAUGUACAGGAUAGGUGGGAGACAAAGAGACGUGCACGCCAGUGUACGAGGAGUCGACGUUGGGAUACCACUCUUGUGUGACCGGGGUUCUAACCUGGUAUCGAGAACAGGUACGGGGAGAGUGUCAGGUGGGCAGUUUGACUGGGGCGGUCGCCUCCCAAAGAGUAACGGAGGCGCCCAAAGGUACGCUCAGAUUGGAUGGAAACCAAUCGUCGAGUGCAAUUGCAGAAGCGUGCUUGACUGUGAGACUUACAAGUCGAACAGGGACGAAAGUCGGGAAUAGUGAUCCGGCGGUGCCGAAUGGAAGGGCCGUCGCUCAACGGAUAA
Molecule: ribosomal RNA, 1589 nt
Filed under: human gut metagenome
Description: bacterial LSU rRNA
Rfam family: Bacterial large subunit ribosomal RNA
Source: RNAcentral